This 468-nucleotide ribosomal RNA is filed under the name uncultured bacterium. Its description in RNAcentral is "partial 16S ribosomal RNA". It matches the Rfam family "Bacterial small subunit ribosomal RNA", at positions 28 to 507 of the family's 1533-position model. The record is from RNAcentral.
GACGAACGCUGGCGGCGUGCUUAACACAUGCAAGUCGAACGGAAAGGCCCUGCUUUUGUGGGGUGCUCGAGUGGCGAACGGGUGAGUAACACGUGAGUAUCCUGACCUUGUUUUUGGGAUAACUUAAGGAAACUGGGGCUACUACCGGAUCGGAGAUCAUGCUGCAUGGUGGGGGUUGGAACGUUUCGGCGGUUGUGGAUGGACUCGCGGCUUACCAGCUUGUUGGUGGGGUAGUGGCUUACCCAGUAUGUGGCGGAUCGCCGGCCUGGGAGGGUGACCGGCCACAAUAGGACUGAGAGACGGCCCAGACUGCAACGGGAGGCAGCAGGGGGGAAUAUUGCACAAUGGGCGGGAGCCUGAGGCAGCGACGCCGCGGUCGGGAUGACGUCCUUCGGGGUAUGAACCGCUGUCGCCUGUGACGAAGCGUUAGUGACGGUAAUGGGUAAAGAAGCACCGGCUAACUACGUG